RNAcentral lists this ribosomal RNA (296 nucleotides) under uncultured bacterium. RNAcentral describes it as "partial 16S ribosomal RNA". It matches the Rfam family "Bacterial small subunit ribosomal RNA", at positions 29 to 334 of the family's 1533-position model. The record is from RNAcentral.
AGUGAACGCUGGCGGCAUGCCUUAUACAUGCAAGUCGAACGAGAACGGGAUUAGCUUGCUAAUCUGUCAGCUAAGUGGCGCACGGGUGAGUAAUACAUUGAUACAUGCCUCUAAGUUUGGGAUAACAUCAAGAAAUUGAUGCUAAUACCAAAUGUACCCUACGGGGGAAAGAUUUAUCGCUUAGAGAUUGGUCAAUGGCCUAUCAGCUAGUUGGUGGGGUAAAGGCCUACCAAGGCUAUGACAGGUAACUGGUUUGAGAGGAUGAUCAGUCACACUGGAACUGAGACACGGUCCAG